RNAcentral lists this microRNA precursor (84 nucleotides) under Bombyx mori (domestic silkworm). Its description in RNAcentral is "mir-2807 microRNA precursor family". It matches the Rfam family "mir-2807 microRNA precursor family". The record is from Rfam by way of RNAcentral. Lineage: Eukaryota; Metazoa; Arthropoda; Insecta; Lepidoptera; Bombycidae.
AUUAUGUAUAUAUAUUGGAAGUUGGAACGUUUGCCUACGUUUGCCGCUAGGGGCGCUGCUCCAACUGCAUACAAAUAAGAGUUA